Non-coding RNA from Vicia faba (fava bean), 360 nucleotides. NCBI's taxonomy places the organism in Eukaryota, Viridiplantae, Streptophyta, Magnoliopsida, Fabales, Fabaceae. The record is from the annotation of a GenBank genome assembly.
AUGGUGGGAGCGAGCGGUGAGUUGCGGCAUCACCGAGGAGUGCUCGCCGGAGGAUGGUGGCGGAUCUGGCUUCGGUUCCGACGACAUAGAGAGGCGAGCACGGUUGGGUGGUUAACGGAGGCAUCUGUUUUUCCGAGUGUGGAGGGCGAUUUGUGCGAUGGUGGAACGUUAGUGUGUGCGCGUCAGAGGCGUGGUGCUGCGGUGGUUCUCUGGAUCAGAAACGAGUUACGCCAUGGUUGCCGGAUUUGUGGUGUCGAGCAGCGACUUCGAGUAAUACAGAGGUUGUGGCGGCUCCGAUGGAGUUGUUGUUGGAUGGCGGAAGUGUACAGGACUAUUUCAUCCGUCAAUUCGCGGUGCUAG